RNAcentral lists this unclassified non-coding RNA (340 nucleotides) under Hevea brasiliensis (rubber tree). The record is from RNAcentral. Lineage: Eukaryota; Viridiplantae; Streptophyta; Magnoliopsida; Malpighiales; Euphorbiaceae.
CACCGGUAAUGAUCUCUCCUUAAUCGCAUCAUAAUUCUUCUGUGCUCUAUGCUGCAUUUCAUGUAUAAACUGUAGGGCCACCCUGGAGGCAGGGCCGCCAGAGAAAGUAACAAGGACAUUAUCAGAAGGGGUAAUCAUGGAAUGAGAAGUAACAGCAAGUCUGAACUUCCCAUAAAGAAUGUUCCGAAAGCAUUCGGCACAGAAGCGGGCAUCAUCACCGCCACCAGCAGCAGAGGCACUAGAUAUGGGCGGCUUGGCCUUGCACUUAAUGCAGAGAUUCUGCUGUCCAUUACUAUUAGUAUUACCCGAAUUCCGAUCGGUUGGUGGUGGCAUGCCUUCU